Molecule: long non-coding RNA, 242 nt
Filed under: Elaeis guineensis (African oil palm)
Lineage: Eukaryota; Viridiplantae; Streptophyta; Magnoliopsida; Arecales; Arecaceae
Description: long non-coding RNA (EGUI_LNC066931)
Source: RNAcentral
GAGGCUCGGACAUAGUCCGAUUCUUAUGGGAGGCCGAAAGGAGGUCGCUUAUUGUUGGAGCUCGGUCAAAGAUCGAUUGUCGUGGCAGCUCGGAGUAACGACCUGGUCGGUGGAUCCCACCCCAUGGUAGAAGCUCGUCUGGGAUCCAGCUACGAAGAAGCUCGGUUGAAGUCUACCUGUAAUGGAAGUUCGAAAGAAAUUUGUCUACAGCAAAGGCUCGAAUGGAAUUUGCUUAUAGUAGA